UUGCUGAGGCUGGCUUUGAACCUGUGAUCCUCCUGCCUCAGCCUCCUGAGCUGCUGGGAUUACAGGCUACAGGUGUGCCACCACCUGGCAAUUCACUGUAUUUCCUUUUCUAUGAAUGUACAGCUCACAUACUUUAGUUUUCUCCUAAGGUUUUCCAUUGGGAUUUCUGUAGAACCCUUCACGUAUCAAAGAAAUUAGCCUCGGGCUGCUGGGCACUGUGGUGUUUUUCUCAGGUGGUCUUUUGACUACGCACCAUUUUUUUCUUACUAUUAACAUUUCUGGGCUUUUUACCUGAUGACUUUAUGUUUUGUGUCUUUGAUUGGAAAGGCUUUGCUGCUUGAAGAUUCUAGAAAUAUCCCUCCUUUUAUCUAGUGAUCAGAUUUCAUUUAUUUUACAUUUAAACCUUGGAUCUGUAGGGGUCUGGGAGUCGGGAAGGGGGCAGACAAACAGCUCUGGUUUUGUUUUCAGGAUGGAGAGCUGGCAGCCCCACUACCACCAUUUCCCCACUCAUUUGGAGCCUUAUGUUUACAACAUACAAAAAUACCAUUCAUAUGGUUUUCGACCUUUUGGGUGCUCCCGUCUGAUCCCCGGAAGCACCUUUCUAGCUAUGUACAUCACAUCACUGUUUUAAAAUCUGG
Molecule: long non-coding RNA, 638 nt
Filed under: Marmota monax (woodchuck)
Lineage: Eukaryota; Metazoa; Chordata; Mammalia; Rodentia; Sciuridae
Source: RNAcentral